UACGUAGGGUGCAAGCGUUACUCGGAAUUACUGGGCGUAAAGCGUGCGCAGGCGGCUUUGCAAGACAGAUGUGAAAUCCCCGGGCUUAACCUGGGAACUGCAUUUGUGACUGCAUGGCUGGAGUGCGGCAGAGGGGGAUGGAAUUCCGCGUGUAGCAGUGAAAUGCGUAGAUAUGCGGAGGAACACCGAUGGCGAAGGCAAUCCCCUGGGCCUGCACUGACGCUCAUGCACGAAAGCGUGGGGAGCGAACAGG
RNAcentral lists this ribosomal RNA (253 nucleotides) under uncultured bacterium. RNAcentral's name for it is "partial 16S ribosomal RNA". It matches the Rfam family "Bacterial small subunit ribosomal RNA", at positions 524 to 776 of the family's 1533-position model. The record is from RNAcentral.